GCAAGUCUGGUGCCAGCAGCCGCGGUAAUUCCAGCUCCAAUAGCGUAUAUUAAAGUUGUUGCAGUUAAAAAGCUCGUAGUUGAAUUUCGGGAUCAAUAUUUCGGUCAUGCCGUUGGUAUGCACUGUUAUCAUUGAUUUCUCACCUUCUAAAGAACCAUAAUGCCAUUAAUUUGGUGUUACGGGGAAUUAGGACUGUUACCUUGAAAAAAUUAGAGUGUUUAAAGCAGGCUCACGCUUGAAUACAUUAGCAUGGAAUAAUGAAAUAGGACAUCCGAUUCUAUUUUGUUGGUUUCUAGGAUCGAUGUAAUGAUUAAUAGGGAUAGUUGGGGGCAUUAGUAUUCAAUUGUCAGAGGUGAAAUUCUUGGAUUUAUUGAAGACUAACUACUGCGAAAGCAUUUGCCAAGGAUGUUUUCAUUAAUCAAGAACGAAAGUUAGGGGAUCGAAGACGAUCAGAUACCGUCGUAGUCUUAACCAUAAGCUAUGCCGACUAGGGAUCGGAUGAUGUUAAUUUUUUAAUGACUCAUUCGGCGCCUUACGGGAAAC
This 543-nucleotide ribosomal RNA is filed under the name uncultured Glomeromycotina. RNAcentral describes it as "SSU rRNA". It matches the Rfam family "Eukaryotic small subunit ribosomal RNA", at positions 555 to 1098 of the family's 1831-position model. The record is from RNAcentral. Lineage: Eukaryota; Fungi; Glomeromycota.